UUCUAUGUAGUAGAAUUUUACAUUGAUAUUAAAAAUCAAAAAUAAACAAAAGUUUCGUAGAAA
Molecule: transfer RNA, 63 nt
Filed under: Dendrothrips minowai
Lineage: Eukaryota; Metazoa; Arthropoda; Insecta; Thysanoptera; Thripidae
Description: tRNA-Leu
Source: RNAcentral